UACGGAGGGUGCGAGCGUUAAUCGGAAUUACUGGGCGUAAAGCGCAUGCAGGCGGCCUGUUAAGUCAGAUGUGAAAGCCCGGGGCUUAACCUCGGAAUUGCAUUUUGAAACUGGCAGGCUAGAGUCUUGUAGAGGGGGUAGAAUUUCAGGUGUAGCGGUGAAAAUGCGUAGAGAUCUGAAGGAAUACCAGUGGCGAAGGCCGGCCCCCUGGACAAAGACUGACGCUCAGAUGCGAAAGCGUGGGGAGCAAAACAGGAUUAGACUACCCUGGUAG
This 274-nucleotide ribosomal RNA is filed under the name uncultured bacterium. RNAcentral describes it as "partial 16S ribosomal RNA". It matches the Rfam family "Bacterial small subunit ribosomal RNA", at positions 524 to 793 of the family's 1533-position model. The record is from RNAcentral.